AGAGGCAUGAAACAUCCCCCGACAUUGGUCCAAAAAUUUUACCAAACUCAACAUAGAGCAAGCAACAUAUGUAGAAGGUUUAAUCAUGGACAAAUAUUUGGCCAUGGUAGGAAUAAAGGUUGAUGAUUCAAGAAACUUGCUAUUGAAUUUUGCUUUUUAUAAAAGAAAACCCAAGUACUUUGCAAGAACCAGCAAGCAUCAUGUCAUCCUACCCUAUCACAUACGUCAAUUACUUCGAUAAAAUGGGGUCCCUAUAACAAGUGUUCAUAAAUCUCUAGGGAUAUU
This 285-nucleotide long non-coding RNA is filed under the name Sorghum bicolor (sorghum). Its description in RNAcentral is "long non-coding RNA (SBIC_LNC017812)". The record is from RNAcentral. Lineage: Eukaryota; Viridiplantae; Streptophyta; Magnoliopsida; Poales; Poaceae.